AAAAAAAAAAAAAACAACAACUUGGCUUCCAACCUUGCUUAGGUAUCCUUAAUAGUACUUAAAAUGCAGGCCUUAAUCUGACAUUUCAAGAACAUUAUUUUCCAACACUGGCAGAGGCUACGAAUAUCGGUAUGGUCCACUUUUCUAUAACCAAUACCCAAUUGUAAUAGAUGUAUAUUUCCCUCACCAAUGAAAAUGGUCCCCCCAACCCCUGCUUAGAGGAGUGUGCAGAAAGUGUGAGGAGUGACUAAGUGGAAGUGGGGGUGAUUAGACCACACGUCUAUUUUCUUAAGAAUCUCUCUUUCCUAGAAUAGCAUCCUAUAGUCAAUAACUAAAUAUAAACCCCUAUUGUUCAUCUGUGAAUUCCAACUUACUAUUCAAAAUGGGCAGGAGGAGGCAUUCUUCCAAAUUAUUCCCCCAAACAAAUGUCUCCUCAGUAGAAUAUAUCCUAGCUGUGAUAGUCUGGUGUUUUCUUUUGAAAUCUUUUGUAGUCUUUGCCAUUGUUCUUCUGAACUACUUAGAAAAGGCAGUGAGCCACCUUCAUGGUAUCUGAAGUUGGCUCUCCAUAAUGAGGUGAUAUAAUUUAACACUUACUGUAAUACAUUUUAUCCAUCUAUUGUUUGCUAAAUAAUUCCUGCAAUAACAAUUUUAUUCUUUCCAUAAUUCUUCAGGGCAAUGCUGGAGGAAUAAUAUUUUUACUGCAGUGAUUGAUGUCAGGUCCUGGUGCUAUAUAGCCCCAUGAACAAAGGUUAUUGAUAAGCAUCAGGAAGAUUGGAGGGUGUAGAGGGGGCAGGGAAAGCAUUCAGAGGCCCCUGCUGCAUGAAAAGAAGAUCAGGGAUCAGAGGGUUAAUACCAUUUUAUGAGGUUGUAAAAAUCUACCCCAAGAUUCUUGUGUUAGCAAUAUUCUUUGUGUAAGAUGUAUGUUAUUAAAACAAGUAGCAGCAUCUGAAUUAAAGUGACAGUAUGAUGGAUGACUACUGAAAAGGAAUCGGAGCCGUUUGCAGCAUUUUGGGCUAGAUGUGGGAAUUCUGCCUCAGAGGCAAGGAGCUUGGCAGACACAUUGAUUCCGGGCUGAUGCAUGUUCAUAAAUAUGCCCCUAGAGAGGUGUGGCCUAGCAGAAUUUACAAAAUUAUGUUCAUGAAUUAUUUAACAUUUAUUUAUGGAUGCUAUAUUUAAACAGUAUUUGCAAAGGCGAAUGGACCAUAGCUUACAAAGUGAUCUUUAGAUAAUGCAAAUUCUGCACAAGGCAGAGGUGGCGGGUGACUUGCCCAGUGAUGC
RNAcentral lists this long non-coding RNA (1278 nucleotides) under Homo sapiens (human). RNAcentral's name for it is "HSALNT0033116". Lineage: Eukaryota; Metazoa; Chordata; Mammalia; Primates; Hominidae. The record is from RNAcentral.